This is a non-coding RNA of Rattus norvegicus (Norway rat), 5397 nucleotides long. The record is from RefSeq and is a predicted model, not a curated record. Lineage: Eukaryota; Metazoa; Chordata; Mammalia; Rodentia; Muridae.
GAGCCUGUGGAGAGGGAAGGCAGGAAAGGAAGGAGGUUACAGAAAAGCUGUCCCUAUGUAGGCCAGAACACAGGUGGAGCGGAGACUGGGAUACUGGAGCUUCUUUGUUGGGACUCUGCUGCUGUGGGGGUUGGGGAGUUGUCUAUCAGAGAGGGAUGGGGUGUUUAUGGAAUAGGAGCCCAUUGAGCCCUGGUCUGUUGCAAGGGUGGAACACAGGCUUGCAGAUGUUGGCAGAAUGCUCUGGAAGGGACCUUCAGUGCCAUCCUUUGAGGGAGGAUGCAUGAAUUUUCUCCUGGAACCCAUAGAUUCCUGAAAUUCUAGAAUCCUGAUGAAUAGAGGCAGCAUGCCCAUAACCUAGCUGUGGGCAUUCCAGAGCCUCAGGGUUUUGUAGAGAAACACUAGGUCCACACUCUGGCCUUCCUCCAUGGCCACACUACUUAGAAACAGGUUCCAGGUCUCCAUGUAAAGGCAGAGGCCAGCAAGAAAUGGCAAAUCAGAGCCACGUGGGGGCGCCCUACUUGGAUGAUGUCCAGGUGAAGCGGAAGUGAGCAAUCGGUACAGUGGGGCAGGAACCAUCAGCGGGAUCGCUCCUUUCAGUACUUUGAAUCCGCUGGAUACUUAAGUAAACGGAUGUCAGGGAGGAGCAAUUAUUUGCAAGCAAUUUUCACAAAUCCCUUCCCCUGGGAGUUCCCUCCCAAGAUUAUGAAAACAUCAGUCACACACUUAAAGAGAAUCUCUCAGCAUCUGCCAGCAGGGGCAACCCCCUCCCACCCCGGGGAUGGGUCGGCAGCUCUCCGCCUUCUGCAACUCCACCAGAGGCCACCUCCGCCUCGGGGAGGGGAGGGACGCGCUCUGAGGACUUGCGCUGUUGGUUCCCUAGAUUUUCUAAGGAUCCACACACAGUUAUAAUUAAUUCUGUUCUGCCGCGGCACAUUUUGUUCCGAUCUCAGUAGAGAUAGUUUUGUGUUAUGACUUGCCUACGGUUUGAUUUGUGAGUGGGUGUGUUUAUUCCUCUCCUGCUGUGUAGAAUGGGGGGGUGUGGCUAACACGCUUGCGCGAGCCGGUGCCUCGCAGCAACAGGAAGUGUUUGGACUAGGAGACAGAGUAGCUGGGUCGAGUCCUGGGUCAUGAAGGGGUGGGACCUCCCGGAGUCGUGGAGCUGAGCGCUACGCCCGGUGGGGACAUUCGGGAGGGAGGUAUAGGAUUGCCCGCUACAGCGCUGAGUGGCUGUUGUCCGUCCGGUCACAGGAUCAAGGUUUUGUGCACUGGAGGCUCACCCGGGUCUCAGAGGGGAUGCGGAUCCACGUCACAUUCAUGUAGCUGUGUAGAAGGUUCAGCUUGGCUUCUAGGGACAGGAUGAGGCUGACAAAAAAACACUCAAUGAAAAGUUUAGCUCCGGAGGUGACAGGAGCUCACUCGCCUGCGCAUGCGUGCAACCUCUCCUCUCCCUGCCCUUUAGUCCCCCAAACCCUAACAAGAGUCCCGUCACCAUCACCCUCCCUCAGGGUGUCGGGGUCAGGACUGGACUGAGAGGCAGGUCUUACUUGGCUAGCCGGGCAUUGUCGUUGUCAUCUUUUCCCCACUCCCAGUCCUUUCCCGGGUCCACCGCAAAGUGCAAGGGCAGCAGCUUGUGUUCCGAAUCCGUCAGAGGGAUCACAGCUGAAACAGAAGAGAGAGCCACGCAGUGACAGGCAGCUAACCGUCUGCCAGGAGGCUUGGGCACACCAGCAGAGCUCAGAGCUCUGGAAGAGAAAUUAAAAAAUAGCUGUCCCAGGGCAGGUAACCCAGUGGAGACAGAAGGUCGACUCAAAGCUUGCAUACCACGAGUGUUAAGACCACAGGCUCUAAACUCGAACACAUUAACAAUUUUCUAUUAUGUAGGCAAAGAGCAAGCAGGUGGAGGCAUCACCUGGACUGUCUGGAUCUCUUUCUGCAUCUCUCUGCGUCAGGAUGAGAAAAAGCUAUGGCUGCUUCUGCUAUUUCCAAGGAAAGACCCAGGCGGGUGUGGUGAGUCAUGGAAGGCCACCUUUGCCUCCAUUUCACCUCAGGGAAGGGCAGAGUUUGCAAGUCAGGAGACCUGUGUGCAGGGCUCUACUGUGGCAAGACUGCAGGUGGGGGCUGCAGAUUCCCCUGACCCUUCCACAGGGAGCUCACCUGUGGGACCAGGCUGCAGGCUCAAACAAAAGCGUCUGGUGAUGAGUCCAGGGGAGGCCUCUUUAAAAGGGGGGCCUUCUGUGGAGAUGAUGAUUAGGUGGGGGACCUGGCCUAUUAUUUCUCAGAGGAGUUGGUUCCCCACAAAGCACCUGGACAGAAGCACUCCAGCCUCAAGAGAUCAGCGUGGGUGGGUGUCCUGCGAUCUGACAGACGUUCCUGAGGGGGUCCCCGAUACCCAGCAAAUGGAAUCUUUAAUGUCAUAUCUGCCUUCUAAGGGUGUUGCCAGGGGUAAAGAUCAGGAAGAAGUGUGGAGGUGGUUUCCAAAUCCCACCUUCCUAAUGAGUACCAGUCUCCUUUGUGUCACUCCAUUUAGUAUGCCUCACCCCUCUGGAGUCUCACCACAGCAGAGAAGCCCAGCCCAGAGCCUCUGGCAGCUGCUUUGUUCCUUUGCUUGCCCAUAGCCUAUGAUUCACACUAGCAGUGCCAUGGUAAGAACAAAAAGGCAAACAAAACACAGAAAAUCCAGGAGCCAAUACUGCAAAGUUGAGAAAUUGAAUACGACUCAAUGCUGCCCUCUAGUGUCUCUAAAGAGAUGAGUGCAAACUGCUCCCUCCCUCUUUCUUCCCACCUCUACCACAAACAGAAGAAAGGCACUUUUGCUGAUUAUCAGCCAGCGUAGGGAUUUUCCUUGUGUGUGGCCAGGGAUAGAGCAGUUUAGGUGAGGUCUGAUGGGAGGAAGGGGCAGGGGCCUCUCAGCUUCAGCCUUGAUGUCGCUUUCUUUCCAAGGCAGAGGUCAGCCUGUCCUAUGGGUCAGCACAAACACUGAGGCUUUAGUGUGCCUUCCCACCGUGGCUGGGGGCAGCAGAGUGAUCUUACCAACACUGCAUACCGGACUCAGUAGAAUUGUGACCCCUAGGGCUCUGUACUGCAUACAGAGGGCCAGUGCAAGGGCCCUGAGUCAGGAUGGAGCUAUCAGGACAUUGUAAAUAUGCAUCCCUGUAGAUCUUGAAAUCAAAAUUGUUAUAGACAAUAAUAACUUGUCAGGAAUAGUUCCUGUCGGUAUAAUUUGGGCUCCUGGGCUCUCUUCCCCUUCAUGGGGCGGAGUUGGUUGGGGAAAUGCCUGCCUGCUGUGACUACACUCUCCAUCCUCUUAGCAAGGGUGUGGGCUGCAGAGGGGUUUGCUUAGCUGAAUGCACAGGCUGUAAGUAAAGUAAUGUGGUAAGUUCAGGGCAAUAUGGCUAGGCUGAGAGGACUUCCCCCUCUCUGCCCAUGUCUCCUGCGAAGAAGUACAAGACGUCAGGAGCAGGCGCUUGAGCCCCACUUGGAGAAGAACUGUCUGCUACUCAGAACUCCAGUGCAGGCUUUGUGUACUUGGGGGCCCAAGCUGUAUGUUGUCAGCCACUAUGGUUUUGUUUGGUUUCUGAUAAAUUAUCUAAAUUAGGCCAUCCCAGUCUUCUCACCUCCCCGUUAGUGUGCCUGGGGAUUCUGACCCUCAGCAGAUAGCCCGGACUGGUUCCCGGCCUGUCCACUCUGAGAAGACAACUGAAACGCACCUGAAGAUUCCAGUGCUGGCUACUUAGAAAGAGCCUGACAGUCUGUCAACUCAGGUCUUGGGGAGAAGAAUAGGCCCUAAGUCCGGGGCUGGAGACAUACACUCAUACCUGAUCUUUAGAGUAUGAACUGCUGCCUGUUUGAGGGCCGAGGAACGGAAAGGCCAGGGACACCUCAAAAACAGGCUGUCCCUUUGUACAUGGGAAAUCCUCUGUUUAACAUCUGCUUUACCCAGGCAAAUAAAUGGCGGCCUGGUAGGGCGCCCCCUGGUGGCAAAUGCCAAUAAUAGCAACAGCUUCCAAAAUAGGCCUGAGGAUUGGUUUGCUUUGGAAAGAACUCUCUCUUACUUUUAGCCUGUAAGCCUACUUACUACAGCAUCUCCAACUAGCCCAUGAAGAUUUGGAACUUUCAUUUUAUGAAACACAAUAGAUAUUUCUGCUUGAGGUGUUUGCCAUUACAAUGAGAAAGCUGCAAAUCUUCAGCAUUUCUUUAGCCUAUCCCUGAAUGGACGGCUCAGCCAGUCUAAGUGUCUCCGAUUCUAAGGAAAGAAAAAUGCCUCUGAGAGAAGACAAGAGACAAGGGAGGGGUUGAUUCGACCCCAUUAGGAAGAACUUAGCUAAAUGUGUCACACGCAUGAAAGAGAAAUGCAAGCAGUGAAGUUAUAUAGUCUCUUCCUCCAGAAAGGAGAAUUAGGAAACCGCUCCCGUCUAUAGGACUGAGCAUGGUGGUCACAAAAAGGAUGGGUGAGGAGCUAGAGGAAUGGCUCAGUGGUAAACUCUCUGCCUUGCAAACAUGAGGUUCAAAACCCAGGACCUAUUAAAGGCUAGGUGCAAAAAUUCGUGCCUGUAAUCUCAGGGCUGGGGAGAUGGAGACAGGAGGACCUGUCUUGCUAUACAGCCAGUUGAGCUAAGUCAGCAACAGACCAUGUCUCAAAAUAUAAGGGACAAAGUGAUUGAGGAAGACACAAUAUUGACCUUUGGUUCCCACAGGCACGAGUACACGGGUGCGCCCUCCACCUCCCCUGAAGUGUUCUCUGCAGAGCUUGCUGUCUUCUCUCCACUAAGGAGCAGGAGCUUACAUUGGAGAGUUCAGGCCACAAACACAGGUGGCGGUGGAGUGUGGGGAAGUGAGGAAGCCAUGAAGGAAUUGUAUAAAGGACAAAGUUCUUAAUGAGUGGACACAGCCAUGUCAAGGACCAAUGCCUCAGACCCAUGGGAAAUUACCACAAUCCCGUUGUGCCAGGGACAGAACGGCAACACCUUCCUCUGGCCCAAGUACAGCUCUUCACAAAUGUCGGUCAGUGUGCGCACUGUUAAAUGAACUGGAGGUUAAAGGCAUGCGAUCGGGGCUGGAGGCAUGGCUCAGUGGUAGAACACGGCCCUCGGUUUGGGCCCCAGCAUUGAAAAAAAAAAACAAGUCCCAACUUAUUGGCCUGGGGAAUACUAAAACACAGAUUAAUGUUUGUUUUUACCCUGGGUUGCACAUCAAAUGUAGCUGACGGGGCUGGAGAGAUGGCUCAGUGGUUAAGAACACUGUUUGCUCUUCCAGAGGACCUGAGUUCAAUUCCCAGCACCCAUAUGGUGGCUCACAUUUGUAAUGGGAUCUGAUGCCCUCUUCUGGAAGGUCUGAAGACAGCUACAAUGUAUUCGCAUAUAUAAAAUCAAUAAAUCUUUUAAAAAAUGAUGUAACUGA